UAUAUAUAUAUAUAUAUAUAUAUAUAUGAGUCAGGAUCCGUUGACACCAGGUGUCAACGGAUUCGUUGACACCAAAUCUUAACCGUUUAUUUUAUUUAAUGAAUGGAUGAUAACUUUCCAUAUUUUAUUUAUUGUGUAUCCUCUUUUUCAAUCACACACUAUUAUUGUAUUCAAUGAUUAAAAAACCCCAAUCAUGAUCCUGCUUAUUCUCUUGUUUGCAAAGUGAAUCUGAUAUUCAUGAAUCUUCUUGAUCUUUUGCCCUCUCACAUCUUGUGAUUAAUUUCGAUUUGUGCUUCAUUUUUUUUUUUUAUAAUGAUGUCGUCUAUAUCUAAUUCUUUAGAGAUGCCAUGGCAAAAUUGGAUCAAUUAUUGUUGUGAUAAUUCAUAAAUUUAAUUUCACAACAAUGAGGCAGUUCGAUUAACUCACAUACUUUUUUAUUCCAAUUUCAAGAAUUUAAUUCAGGUGCUUAAUCUCAUAUUUUUGUUACGGUUUGAGCUUAAUCUCAUAUUUUUGUUACGGUUUGAAUUGAAAAGAUACGGUGAAAUAUGAUUUGGAAGGGAUGAUCCCAAACUCAUAUUCUUGUGAAGGAAUAAAAAAGGGUUUAUGUCAA
This 610-nucleotide long non-coding RNA is filed under the name Medicago truncatula (barrel medic). Its description in RNAcentral is "long non-coding RNA (MTRU_LNC003143)". Lineage: Eukaryota; Viridiplantae; Streptophyta; Magnoliopsida; Fabales; Fabaceae. The record is from RNAcentral.